GACGAACGCUGGCGGCGUGCUUAACACAUGCAAGUCGAACGGAAAGGCCCGCCUUUGUUGGGUUCCCGGGGUGCGAACGGGGGAAGAAACCCUGAGUUACCUGGCCUUGACCUUGGGGUAACCUCAAGGAACUGGGGCCAAUACCGGGUUGGAGCCCCUGCUGCAUGGGGGGGGGUGGGAAGUUUCGGCGGUUGGGGAUGGACUCGCGGCUUAUCAGCUUGUUGGUGGGGUAGUGGCUUACCAAGGCUUUGACGGGUAGCCGGCCUGAGAGGGUGACCGGCCACAUUGGGACUGAGAUACGGCCCAGACUCCUACGGGAGGCAGCAGUGGGGAAUAUUGCACAAUGGGCGGAAGCCUGAUGCAGCAACGCCGCGUGCGGGAUGACGGCCUUCGGGUUAUAAACCGCUUUCGCCUGUGACGAAGCGUGAGUGACGGUAAUGGGUAAAGAAGCACCGGCUAACUACGUG
This 467-nucleotide ribosomal RNA is filed under the name uncultured bacterium. RNAcentral's name for it is "partial 16S ribosomal RNA". It matches the Rfam family "Bacterial small subunit ribosomal RNA", at positions 28 to 507 of the family's 1533-position model. The record is from RNAcentral.